GACGAACGCUGGCGGCGUGCUUAACACAUGCAAGUCGAACGGAAAGGCCCUGCUUUUGUGGGGUGCUCGAGUGGCGAACGGGUGAGUAACACGUGAGUAUCCUGCCCUUGACUUUGGGAUAACUUCAGGAAACUGGGGCUAAUACCGGAUAGGUGCUCCUGCUGCACGGUGGGUGUUGGAAAGUUUCGGCGGUCGGGGAUGGACUCGCGGCUUAUCAGCUUGUUUGUGGGGUAGUGGCUUACCAAGGCUUUGACAGGUUGCCGGCCUGAGAGGGUGACCGGCCACAUUGGGACUGAGAUACGGCCCACACUCCCACGGGAGGCAGCAGGCGGGAACAUUGCACUAUAGGCGGAAGCCUGAUGCAGCAACUCCGCGUUGGGGAUGACCACCUUCGGGUAGUAAACCGCUUUCGCCUGUGACGUAGAGUGAGUGACGGUACUAGGUAAAGAAGCACCGGCUAACUACGUG
This 468-nucleotide ribosomal RNA is filed under the name uncultured bacterium. Its description in RNAcentral is "partial 16S ribosomal RNA". It matches the Rfam family "Bacterial small subunit ribosomal RNA", at positions 28 to 507 of the family's 1533-position model. The record is from RNAcentral.